RNAcentral lists this long non-coding RNA (521 nucleotides) under Homo sapiens (human). RNAcentral's name for it is "HSALNT0236232". Lineage: Eukaryota; Metazoa; Chordata; Mammalia; Primates; Hominidae. The record is from RNAcentral.
CCAGCUCCCAGCCCAGGGCCUGUCUGAAUUAACCCGCUUAACCCUCUUCUGACUGGAUAUUGUGAGGCCCCAGAGCGCUGUCCUGGUGAGCACGGGCACAGCUGUCCCUGCCCCACUGGCUUGGCUGUGGGUACAUGGUCUCUGAAGGGGGUGGCCGUGCCCUGGCCCCUGCCACACAGUGAACACACAGGAGCUGAGGGGGCAGGGCCAGCCUCACUCCCGCAGCCACUGCUGCCCAUCUGGCCACACACAGGAUGCCCCUGGUAGUGUCUGCUCUGGUGCCAGGGCUGUUGGGGGCAGGCUGGAGGAAGAUGGCACUAAGCCAAUAAUGGGCAGGAAUUGUCCCAACCUGAGGUCCCACCUCUAUCCAGCUGGGAGGCCUUGGUGUCCCCACCUGCACACAAAGGCACAGGAGCAGGUAGUCACAGAGCCCAGAGCAGCAGGCAGCCUCACACGCUGCCCACAGCAGUGCCCAGCGGGCCCCCGAGCCCUCAUGCAUCCCUGAGCCGUGAGCACCCAAC